Non-coding RNA from Felis catus (domestic cat), 1135 nucleotides. The record is from the annotation of a RefSeq genome assembly. Lineage: Eukaryota; Metazoa; Chordata; Mammalia; Carnivora; Felidae.
UCUGUGGAGCCUGACAUCACGCAGCUCUGAACGGUGAAUUGGCAAUGUUUUCCGGACAAAGAUGUGGCCACCUCAGCCCCCACAAGUCCCAUACCCAAACCGUGGAUUCGACCAAGCAAACGCAGGGUGAGGUCAAAAUAGAAGCAUGCAGGGGGAGGUGAUGAGGCCAGCAUUCCAGCCAUCAGGUUGGAGGUGCCAUGCACACACACACACACAUACACACGGAGAAGUCACAAGACAAGGGGAAGGCCACACACCCGGCGCGGGUACCAGCAGCUGAGUGCUGUGGCCAGAGGGCUCACGACCAGGGGACUGAACAGAAUCCACGUAUCCGUGUCCAUCUACUUUCGAAUGACCAGUUUCCAUUCAUUCUAUGCCUCACAGUUUUUUCCCUUUUAACAUUUCUGAAUAUGAGCGACACUCAUCUUUUUUCUUCCUUAAUGGUCAGGAUAGAAUGGUGCAUCUCGAGGUGGCUGGAACCUUAGAUUUAAUUCAUUAAUAGCAGCUGAACGUGAGGUUCAGUGAUGUCACUAAGCCAACUCCCUUGUGUGGAUGAGGGGCCUCCCUCCUCCUCCGCUCGUGCUCAGGAGAACCUGAUGUGGCAAACAUCCUAGCCCUGUCCUGACCCUGCCAUGGGCACCAGACUCCUCUGCUGCGUGGCCCUCUGUCUCCUGGGGGCAGGUCACACAGGAGCUGGUGUCCUCCAGUCCCCCCGGCACAAGGUCACAAAGAGGGGCCGGGACGUGGACCUCAGGUGUGACCCAAUUUCUGGUCAUGCUGGCCUCUACUGGUACCGACAGGCCGUGGGGCAAGGCCCGGAGUUUCUCGUUUCCUUCCAAAACAAGGACAAAGUAGACUCCUCAGGGAUGCCCAGCAACGAUCGGUUCCAGGUGAACAGGUCCGAGGGGUCCUACUCCAUUCUGCAGAUCCAGCGUGCGGAGCCGGGGGACUCAGCUGUGUACCUCUGUGCCAGCAGCCCUACCACAGUGGGGCACAGCCACCUCCUUCCUCUUCACCAACCUCAUGUGUCUACUUCUCAUAGUUCACAGAAUCCCCGCACAAAGGAGUUGCCUGCUUCUUCUUCAUCAGGGGCAGCAUGUGGAUUUGGGACUUAGGCUCUUCUUCUGAUAGAAAA